This is a long non-coding RNA of Silurus meridionalis, 1113 nucleotides long. RefSeq lists it as uncharacterized. The record is from RefSeq and is a predicted model, not a curated record. The transcript has 2 exons. NCBI's taxonomy places the organism in Eukaryota, Metazoa, Chordata, Actinopteri, Siluriformes, Siluridae.
UUCAGCUCAGGCUCUAAUUAUCCAGGCAGGAAGUGAGUGGAACCAGUGCAGACUGACAACCGUGCCAUAGAGAACGAUUCCAAUCAGUGUAAUUAGAGCGAAACCACGUGAGGGUUCGACCUUCAGAAGAGACGGUGUGUGACGUGAAGUGACCUCCUCAGGAAAAAAAAAAAAUGCUUUUAAAGCAAGACGAAAUUAAAUAAUCUCAGAAAUCCAAUAAAUCACAACCCACUCUCCGAUGGCCUGAUAUGAUAAGAAGGAGCCGACGUUACGUAUGAUGAAAAGCUUGUUUUAUUCGUCCUGAUGGUCCAUAAAUACAAACACAAGCAAACUAAUAAGAGCUCGUUACCCUGAAUGGAGCAAAAACCUUCCACCCACUUGCAUAUUAAUCUUUAUAUGCAAUACAUGACCUUCAAUGGCAUUUUAGCUUAAAUAUCUUUCAUCGACAUGUUUUUGGUUAACCGCAAUGCCCCCGAAAACUCUGAUUAAUCCCCUGCUUUAUCUCAAGCUGAAGAGAGUCAUGCAGCAGAGCUUUAGUCUUUCAGUCUGCACAACUCACACAGAUCGGCUAACAUAAACACCAGCUUUCAUGCUAACACCAACACAUAUCCACGGUUUGUAGAUUGCUAGCUUUUGGUUCUACCAAAAUGUUUAAGAUUCAUUGACCUCCAUUGUAACAAAGCUAGAAGAACAAUGUCCCUCUAUGACAAGCUGCUCAUCCACCUCACCUCAUUAGAACCACAACACCAACUAAUUAUAUUUCAAAAGAACCCUUCUGGGUGAGAUGUUCCUCUAGAUUUUAUAGUGUGCUUGUGGAAGAUUUGGAGUAAAAUCAGGUCCUGGUGUAGAUAAGGUGAUUUUAUUUAUAUUCAAUAGGGUUGAAGCUCUUUAGCAGGAGAUCUUCCACUCCAUCCCAUGUUAAGCACAAUCCAAAAAGGACAAUCGAGUGCCUCCAACUUUUACACCUGCGGAUGUAACUGAAGUCCAGGGUAAAAGUAAAUUAUAAAAAAAAAAAAAAAAAGGAGAUUGAAGUAAAACACGGAUUUAUUAAUUCUGAUAUUUUGAAGAAUGAUUUAUAAAAAUCAAAUUUAAUAAAAAAAAUUUUUUUUAAUA